RNAcentral lists this transfer RNA (66 nucleotides) under Pachydactylus macrolepis. Its description in RNAcentral is "Pachydactylus mariquensis macrolepis tRNA-Cys". The record is from RNAcentral. Lineage: Eukaryota; Metazoa; Chordata; Lepidosauria; Squamata; Gekkonidae.
AGCCCCGCGGUGGCAGCACAGCGAAAUGCAAGUUCGAAGAAGCACCCAUAAAGGGUGCCGGGGCUU